GCUGAAGCUGAGUGAGCGGCCAUCGCAUCCCCUCAGCCACUCCAGGAUGGGCAGCAGCAGUGGACUGAGCUUCCCAGGAGAGGCUCCUGGCCCGGAACCUGCGGGGUUGUGGCCGUACACUUCGCCAGCUUCCAGCGCAUGAAGUGGCCCAAAGCAGGCGGCAGACUUGGUGUCCCCCGCAAAAGUGACAACUUCAUCUAGAGGCUGUUGCACAGAAACUCUCCAACCAGGAGGAAGAGACCAGCAGCUGCCCUCUCGGUUCCCAGAACGUGCAUUAGAAAUUUCCAGUCCUAAGGGGGCUGCAGCGUUACCCAUCUUCCAACUGAUGACCAAAAAGUGGGCUUGAGAAAACAUUUUACCGUUUAAGAAACUGAACAGGAGGGGGUGCCUUCGUUUUGGAUGCUAUUUUUGAGAAGCUGGUCAAAGAAGGGGAAAAUAGAACUGAUUAGGAAACAAAAUGAAUAAAUUGCCGUGGCAGUCCUUGGAUGAUUUUAACUCGUCAGAUGCCAAUGCCCGAGGUCUUUUAUUGUGCCAAGGCUGCUUUUGCAGUAUUUCAAUGCUCACGGAUCCUGUGAAUCACUUCUUCCUACACUGAUUCAUCCUUCUGAUCGUCUCUUCAUUUAUUCAUUUCUUAGGGGCCCUUCCCCCUGGAGACAGAGGCCUAGUUGCUUUUAAAAAUAUCCCCCUCACUACCACCAAAAAUAGAAAGUCUGGGGAGUGCUGUUGUGACUAAGCGGUCCCACCUUGUCCCUGCAGCAUCUCAAGUCGCUGCUGUGUGGCAGGUUUGAUCUCUGCACCUGGGAACUUCUACAAGACAAGGACAUGGUCAGGAUAUACACACACAGAUUAUCGAUACCUAUUUUGUUUCAGAUGAUAUGAUGGUGUCUGAAGAUACAGACUCUUGCCUUUCCAGAGGCCAUAGGCAGUAACUUUUGACCUUUUAAUGUCCCAUCCCUAUAAUUUUUAACAAAUUGAGCAUCUACCCAUAUAAUAUUAUUUAUAUAUGUACAUAUAUUCUUUUAUAAUUAAUAUAUGAAAUGUUAGUUCAUUUUAUUUUUUGGAUGAAUGCAUAAAUGGAGGUUAAGGUAUUUUUUUCAUUCACUCCAGUGGACCAUCUCAAACACUUCCUGGACUGCUUCCUCAGUCUGCAACCCCCGCUACUGGUAUGCGCCUGACUCUCUCGCUUCUUUCUUCAGAUCUCUGUCAAAUGCCAGGUUUUCAGAGAGGCCUUCCCUGGCCACUCCCUUUAAAAUACUGUCCUCAGCCAUACAAUGAGACACCAACAUCAAAUGCUUUCACUGACAUGUGGAAUCUGAAAAAAGGACAGACGGAACUUCUUUGCAGAACAGAUGCUGACUCACGGAUAUCGGAAAACUUACGGUCUCCGGAGGAGACAAUUUGGGGGGUGGGGGAUGUGUUUGGGUUGUGGGAUGGAAAUCCUAUGAAAUCAGAUUGUUGUGAUCAUUAUACAACUACAGAUGUGAUAAAUUCAU
Molecule: long non-coding RNA, 1493 nt
Filed under: Sus scrofa (pig)
Lineage: Eukaryota; Metazoa; Chordata; Mammalia; Artiodactyla; Suidae
Description: lncRNA (ENSSSCG00000056332.1)
Source: RNAcentral